Molecule: ribosomal RNA, 1607 nt
Filed under: Salmonella enterica subsp. enterica serovar Corvallis
Lineage: Bacteria; Pseudomonadati; Pseudomonadota; Gammaproteobacteria; Enterobacterales; Enterobacteriaceae
Description: bacterial LSU rRNA
Rfam family: Bacterial large subunit ribosomal RNA
Source: RNAcentral
GUUGGGUAGGGGAGCGUUCUGUAAGCCUGCGAAGGUGGCCUGUGAGGGUUGCUGGAGGUAUCAGAAGUGCGAAUGCUGACAUAAGUAACGAUAAAGCGGGUGAAAAGCCCGCUCGCCGGAAGACCAAGGGUUCCUGUCCAACGUUAAUCGGGGCAGGGUGAGUCGACCCCUAAGGCGAGGCCGAAAGGCGUAGUCGAUGGGAAACGGGUUAAUAUUCCCGUACUUGGUGUUACUGCGAAGGGGGGACGGAGAAGGCUAUGUUGGCCGGGCGACGGUUGUCCCGGUUUAAGCGUGUAGGUGUGUGUUCCAGGUAAAUCCGGUUCACUUUAACACUGAGGCGUGACGACGAGGCACUACGGUGCUGAAGCAACAAAUGCCCUGCUUCCAGGAAAAGCCUCUAAGCAUCAGGUAACAUCAAAUCGUACCCCAAACCGACACAGGUGGUCAGGUAGAGAAUACCAAGGCGCUUGAGAGAACUCGGGUGAAGGAACUAGGCAAAAUGGUGCCGUAACUUCGGGAGAAGGCACGCUGACACGUAGGUGAAGUGAUUUACUCAUGGAGCUGAAGUCAGUCGAAGAUACCAGCUGGCUGCAACUGUUUAUUAAAAACACAGCACUGUGCAAACACGAAAGUGGACGUAUACGGUGUGACGCCUGCCCGGUGCCGGAAGGUUAAUUGAUGGGGUCAGCGCAAGCGAAGCUCCUGAUCGAAGCCCCGGUAAACGGCGGCCGUAACUAUAACGGUCCUAAGGUAGCGAAAUUCCUUGUCGGGUAAGUUCCGACCUGCACGAAUGGCGUAAUGAUGGCCAGGCUGUCUCCACCCGAGACUCAGUGAAAUUGAACUCGCUGUGAAGAUGCAGUGUACCCGCGGCAAGACGGAAAGACCCCGUGAACCUUUACUAUAGCUUGACACUGAACAUUGAGCCUUGAUGUGUAGGAUAGGUGGGAGGCUUUGAAGUGUGGACGCCAGUCUGCAUGGAGCCGGCCUUGAAAUACCACCCUUUAAUGUUUGAUGUUCUAACGUGGACCCGUAAUCCGGGUUGCGGACAGUGUCUGGUGGGUAGUUUGACUGGGGCGGUCUCCUCCUAAAGAGUAACGGAGGAGCACGAAGGUUGGCUAAUCCUGGUCGGACAUCAGGAGGUUAGUGCAAUGGCAUAAGCCAGCUUGACUGCGAGCGUGACGGCGCGAGCAGGUGCGAAAGCAGGUCAUAGUGAUCCGGUGGUUCUGAAUGGAAGGGCCAUCGCUCAACGGAUAAAAGGUACUCCGGGGAUAACAGGCUGAUACCGCCCAAGAGUUCAUAUCGACGGCGGUGUUUGGCACCUCGAUGUCGGCUCAUCACAUCCUGGGGCUGAAGUAGGUCCCAAGGGUAUGGCUGUUCGCCAUUUAAAGUGGUACGCGAGCUGGGUUUAGAACGUCGUGAGACAGUUCGGUCCCUAUCUGCCGUGGGCGCUGGAGAACUGAGGGGGGCUGCUCCUAGUACGAGAGGACCGGAGUGGACGCAUCACUGGUGUUCGGGUUGUCAUGCCAAUGGCACUGCCCGGUAGCUAAAUGCGGAAGAGAUAAGUGCUGAAAGCAUCUAAGCACGAAACUUGCCCCGAGAUGAGUUCU